UACGGAGGGUGCAAGCGUUAUCCGGAUUUAUUGGGUUUAAAGGGUGCGUAGGCGGUAUAUUAAGUCAGUGGUGAAAUUUUGCAGCUUAACCGUAGCAUUGCCAUUGAAACUGAAGUACUUGAGUUAUCUUGAGGUAGGCGGAAUGUGUAGUGUAGCGGUGAAAUGCUUAGAUAUUACACAGAACACCGAUUGCGAAGGCAGCUUACUAAGGGUAAACUGACGCUCAGGCACGAAAGCGUGGGGAUCGAACAGG
This 253-nucleotide ribosomal RNA is filed under the name uncultured bacterium. RNAcentral describes it as "partial 16S ribosomal RNA". It matches the Rfam family "Bacterial small subunit ribosomal RNA", at positions 524 to 776 of the family's 1533-position model. The record is from RNAcentral.